RNAcentral lists this long non-coding RNA (578 nucleotides) under Equus caballus (horse). RNAcentral's name for it is "lncRNA (ENSECAG00000056345.1)". The record is from RNAcentral. Lineage: Eukaryota; Metazoa; Chordata; Mammalia; Perissodactyla; Equidae.
GUCACAAAGGCACAGACGCUGAGGCUUGUGGGAACGGUUCUGAGAGACCGCCUCACGCCCGCCACCUGGCAGAGCUGUUGAUUGCGAGGGAGGGAGAAGAGGUGUGCACCCCGGGAAGGCGGAACCCCAGGGGAGAGCGGAAGAAUCGUUGCAUUAGUUGAUGAAUUCAUUUCUUCCACUCAUCGUAGUGCAAGGCUCUGCGGCGUUUACCCAGAAGACUACCUUGUCCCUAUCCCAGAGGACCCAAAAGAGACUGGAGAGAAGAGACGCUGCUUUCAGAAUGUCGCCAAAAAAGCUGACACUUAAUGGGCACCUCAUGUUUAAGGGCUUUGUCACUCGAUAUAAAUUCCUGCUCCUCUCUCCAACAACGUUUCAAGAUGGGUAUAAAAACCCACUUCACAGGAGACCUCCUCCACAUCUAUGCUUCAGCCACGGCUUCUCCACCUGUAAAUCCUCCCCGGCUUUCCGAGCUGAGCUCAGACCUGACUCCUGCGGGGAAGCCAUGUGCAGCGGAUGCUGUCAGUGCCCUCCCACAUCCCCGGCGCUCCUCACGCCUCCAUCAGCUUCCCACUGCGGCU